This 1835-nucleotide long non-coding RNA is filed under the name Nicotiana tabacum (common tobacco). Its description in RNAcentral is "long non-coding RNA (NTAB_LNC006535)". The record is from RNAcentral. Lineage: Eukaryota; Viridiplantae; Streptophyta; Magnoliopsida; Solanales; Solanaceae.
UUGAAUUAAAAAUUUUAGGUGACAAUUCAAUAAUAUAAUUUACUAGGAAUUGUCUUAGAUAUUUUUAUUACCAUUUCUUUUCUCUAACUUGUAUAAAAAUAAUUUAAAAAAUAAAAAGUAUUUGUUGGGCCCGCUUAGGACCAUUUGGGCCCGCUUAGGACCGGACCGACCCACUUAAUACGGGACCGUUAGUUCGUGAUCCUGGUCUCGAACCGGUUCCAACAAGAAGCUCGCGAAGUCCGGGACCGCUUAAGACCGGCCCGCCUAGGACCGACCCACUUAGGACCGAGUCCGGCCCACAUACCACCCUUACCUAAAGCACUCUAACGUGUUUAUUAUUCAGGCCCGACCCACAUACCACCCUUACCUAAAGCACUCUAACGUGUUUAUUAUUCAUUCUCUCCUUUAAGAUUAUUGCAGAGGCACGGAGUUAUGGAAGUAAAAUCGUGGCGAAGAUGUUAUGAAUUUCAUUGAUACUUGGCCCGUGUAGUAGUUAAAGAAAAGAACAUCAUAUAUAUUUACAAUAGUUGGGCCAACCAAUUUGUGAAUGGACCAGCAAACUAAGUGCAAACGGAGCAGCUAUAUCUAGACUCAAUUAAAUUAUACUUAAAAGGUCCACUCUCCAAUAUGACCAAUUAUCCUUGAAAGAGAAGCAAAUUCCCCUGCCCACUUAAUGAAACAAUUUUAUUGCAAUAGCUAGUCCCAAGCAGAGCUUUCCCGUUUUUAUAAAAGCCAAAAGCUCAUGACCCAUCAACACUUUUUAAUUUGUUCACCAAGCAAAUUAUAAUCCAAACAAUCACAAAAAUAGGAUAAACCAAUGCAUUGAACUUUCCACAAAAGCACAGCGAAACACUAACUCAAGCAACUAAUAGGACAAAGCAGCAAAAAUCAGAAGAAAACUGACAAUAAAAAAUGUAUUAGGAGCGAAAACAGUAAAGAAGAAUGAACCUCAAACGAAUCUGAACAAACAGAACAAAGAGCCUCCAAACCUAGUCUUUUACAAACUCUUCGAUAUACUGAACUUCAGAUGGACUCGACCGGAGCUAACGAACCACGACCUCAUCCGCAACCUCAAACUCGACUUAAAACUUGUGUUCCAAGGAUUGUUCGGUUGGAAUUUUGGUAGUAUUUUGGUACUGUUUCACGGUAGAAUUAGCAGCGAUUUGAGCUACUGUUUCAGGUCCCUUCUUGCUCGUUUUUGGGUGGUUUUGAGCAGCGUUUUGGGGUGGAUUUGAGCAGUUUUGGAGGCUGAUUUUGGUGCAUUUCAAUGGCAGAUUUCAGCUGAGUUUUCCCAGCUGAUUUUCACGUUGGUUUCAGGUGGAAUUUUGAGGAGUUUCAUGGUUGUGUAACUUGUGUUAUGGAGUCAUUUUCGCAGCUGCUUUGCUGGUUUCGAAGGGCUGUUUUACAGCUGGGUUUGGAGCUGAAUUUCAGCAGGAGUUUGGGAUGGUUAAUGGCUGCUUUACAUGGUGUUUUGGGGACUGUUUGGUGCUGGUUUUGUACCUGGGUCGGCGGCGGAUUUGAGGUCGUUUUGGUGCUUUAAUUGUGCUGAUUUUGCUGCGUUCUCAUGGAGCUUUAAGGGCUAUUUUUGGGGCAGCAGUUAUGGUUGUUUGAUGAUGAUUUCCAUAGUGUUUUGUGGGAGUAAAGGUGCUGUAUUUUUAGGGGCUAUUUACAGCAGGUUUUUGCUGCCUUUUGGACUUAUUUUCACUGGAGUUUGGUGAGGGAUUUGAAGUUUUGUUUGAUGAUAUUGUGAGGAAGAAGAAGAAAGCUUCCUUUUUUGCCCAUCCCCUCUCAAUGUGUCCCCCUUUUUUUGUAUGUGUGUUUAUAUAGGAGGAGUG